AUAACCUCCAAAUAAAUAAUUCAUUUUAUUUUUGGACUUGGAAUGGAAAACAUAGGAUUUUGAAAAUAUUAAGGCAAUUUACUAGGAGUGGACUUGAUUUCAAGGUUUAAUUUUGAUUACGAAGAUACUUGGUAACUAGUUAAUGAAUAGAAAUUUAUCUGACUGCAGCCUGUAUAGCUUCUCGAUGACAUGAGUGAGGUGUGAGGAUUUUUUUCUUGGACUUAAUCGUGGGAUCUGGCAAAAAUGGGGCCAUUUGCUAGAAGAACAACUUAUCAUUCCAGGACUUGAUACAAUAGAUUGAUCCAAUUCAUAAGCAGAUCGGCC
Molecule: long non-coding RNA, 324 nt
Organism: Ctenocephalides felis (cat flea)
Lineage: Eukaryota; Metazoa; Arthropoda; Insecta; Siphonaptera; Pulicidae
Exons: 3
Source: RefSeq, a predicted model, not a curated record